AGCCAUGUGGUGAACAUAAAGCGAACUAUUCUUUCGCCUUUUACUAAAGAACACCGUGUGUUCGUCACGCUAAUAGUGGUGUAAUCUAAUUUUUGUUGGGUUUAAUUUUUUUAAGUUG
Small nuclear RNA from Zostera marina, 118 nucleotides. It matches the Rfam family "U5 spliceosomal RNA". From Rfam's summary of the family: U5 RNA is a component of both types of known spliceosome. The precise function of this molecule is unknown, though it is known that the 5' loop is required for splice site selection and p220 binding, and that both the 3' stem-loop and the Sm site are important for Sm protein binding and cap methylation. The record is from Rfam. NCBI's taxonomy places the organism in Eukaryota, Viridiplantae, Streptophyta, Magnoliopsida, Alismatales, Zosteraceae.